This 452-nucleotide long non-coding RNA is filed under the name Homo sapiens (human). RNAcentral describes it as "HSALNT0390498". The record is from RNAcentral. Lineage: Eukaryota; Metazoa; Chordata; Mammalia; Primates; Hominidae.
CAGGCUCUCCGGGAGCCGCUGGCCCGGCGCGGCGCGCACGAUCGAAUCGUCGCUGUUUUCGUCCACGAUAGUCUCGUCGAAGUCGAAGGAGGAACGUGUCAGCAGGUGGGGUUUCUGCCAGAGUCCGAAGCAAGCGGGCAGCAGGAGAAGCAGUGGGGCUUGGGGAGGUAAGAGCCUCCCGCACCAGGCCAUGACACACCUGGGAGACAGAGUCACCCUCUGGUCUCAUCAACAUCCAGUGGGCAUUUCAGUGGCCCAGGAUCCUUCAAAUUGCAGAUAUAAAGCAUCAGGACCCCACACCUGGGAUGGAAGCUUCUAGGAAUUAAUGAAGCCCCAGUAGAGGUGAGGGUAAACCUAAAACGGGCUGGAUAGGGCCUCUCCCAAGGCCCUAUGGAAAGGUGAUGGGAAACUGGGGGCUGAGGCCUCAUCCUAGGAGACCCCUGGAGGGACCC